AACAAUAAAAGGAAAAGUAUUUGCAUAAAGAAGAAAGCGAAGUGGAUUUCAAUCACAUGGGAAAAAAAUUUCAAUUUGGUACAAUCUAGCGGGACCUUAUCCAUUGUUCGUUCACCUUGCCAGUCGGCCCCAAUUCAGUAAAGCAGCGGGUUAGGGCUUGAAACUCUUCCAUCAUCGCAUUGAGAAUUCUUCAGAAAUGGCCGAUGAAGCGAACAGAACCGCAUUUAUGGAAAUUCAAGGACAGAUGGUUGAGAUUACUGGAAAGCUGAAGCAGGUACAAAAUCAGAUGCGAAACAAAGAAGGAGAAAGGAAGCGCGCAUUCUUAACCUUGGAGGAACUGCGACAGUUGCCUGAUGAUACAAACACAUACAAAUCUAUUGGGAGAACGUGAGUUCUGGCUAAAUAAUCUGUGCAUGCAAUUUAAUGAAUCAUAGUUUAUGAAGUGUGAGGAAUGUGUGCAUGUGCAUGUGUGCAUGAGUGUUACAUAAUCCGUUGAAAUUUCUUACAUCAAAGUUUCAAUUCUUUCCCUCAAACUGUUGGGCAGGUUUGUUUUAGAACCCAGGUCUGUGUUAAUGAAUGAACAGGAACAAAAGUUCAAGGACAGUGAGGCAGCCAUCACUGCAUUACAGACGUCCAAGGAGUACUUGGAGAAGCAGUUGGGAGAGGUGGAGAACAACCUGAGGGAGCUGCUACACCAAGAUCCAACUCUUGCUCGUCAGAUUAUGUCCAUGACAGAACUCUGACCACCAUCGCGCUACUUUGGACAUUAUGACGUGACACCAAACCCGAGGGGGUGAAGGCCGCCUGCCCAUUGACGCACCCUUGGUAGUUUACCGGUGCAAUGCUUCAAGGCAGAAUCGAACCGAUGACCUUCGGGUCACCAAAGUCACAAGUCGCCCUUACUACUUGAGUUGACCGACUGUACCCUUUUAUGUUGUUGAUUUAUUAUAAUUGCCCCUUUGUCAUUCAAAAAAGGAAAAAAACCAGUUAAUUAUAAAAAUGAACUAGAAUCCCUCCAAGGAGAGAAUUCAAGAGUUGGUCCAUUGAGCUACUUAAUUAUGUAUUAGCGCAUAAAAUUUACAUAAAAAUUUGGAAAAUAUCUUUUAUUAUUUUCCUGGAUUUCUAAUCCUUACUUUGUGCAAGGAAGCAUGAAGUUUGGAUCUUAAACAUUAAUUUGUGUGGAUUAAGCUUAAUAAGUGUUUAUAUUGUGAUAUGUGGCUCA
Malania oleifera is the source of this 1222-nucleotide RNA transcript. It is a transcript of the gene named prefoldin subunit 1, with no coding region annotated. The record is from RefSeq and is a predicted model, not a curated record. NCBI's taxonomy places the organism in Eukaryota, Viridiplantae, Streptophyta, Magnoliopsida, Santalales, Ximeniaceae. The transcript has 6 exons.